This is a long non-coding RNA of Dioscorea cayenensis subsp. rotundata (Guinea yam), 4109 nucleotides long. RefSeq lists it as uncharacterized. The transcript has 6 exons. Lineage: Eukaryota; Viridiplantae; Streptophyta; Magnoliopsida; Dioscoreales; Dioscoreaceae. The record is from RefSeq and is a predicted model, not a curated record.
AAUUGAUUUAUUUCUUAAAUGAACGAUAUUCUUAUUUUUGGUUUUUCAUAGUUUAAAGUUUGAUCUUUUGUUGAAAAGGAAUUGGUUUUCUUUUUUUUGACAUAUGGUCAGUUUAGUGAGGGCUGGUUAUUUAACUUUACACAUCCUCAUGACAUUUUCUACGCAUCCUUAUGACAGUUUCUACCUAUAGUUGCAUUUUAAAUGUUAAUUGUAUAAUCUCCACAACAGUGCUGGUUUAAUAUGGAGAUUCAUGUUUUGUGGUUGUAAUGCUUUUCAAUUGUUAACUAAUGACUUCUUGGAGAUUGACAUAUUUUAAUCUUUGUUCUAAGCCACAUCUUAAUGUGUACAACAAACCAUAUUUUAUUUAUGUUUUGUACUAUAAUAUUCAAUAAUUCAAUCAUCAUCCUAAUUAGCUUAUGCUCCAUAUAUAGAUGCAAUACUGUGUGUGGAAUAAAUUGAUUACUUAGUCUAUUUAAGUACGAGAGUUAUUAUAUUGGAUUAUUGAUGGAUCAUCUUGUGGUGUAAAGUGUGCCCUCUAAAAUGUUUGCAAACCUGUAAGAAGGAUCCAAGAGGCUAAUUUUGCCUGAAUAGAUAGGUAAACUUUAAUAUUUGUUGGUUUUGUUUUAUUCAAUUCUCAAUGCUAUUGUUUCAAAAAAUUCAUUAUUGCUGGUAUUAUGCCUUGUGAUCAAAUGUGGUUCAAGUUUAACUUGUUUUACUUCAACGGAUGCUGUGUUACUAGUUAUAUCAUGCCAUUUAAUCAAGGCCGAUCUCUAAAUUGUGUUAUGAUCUAGUUUAAUCUGAGUUCUGAAAACCAAUCAUCCUAUUACCUCUGGCUUCAUAUUGCAUAAUAUUAAGAAUUGGUUUCGUAUGCCAAUUGAGUUACCUAAAUAUUUAUUGGAUUUUUAGUCAAUUUUCUUUAUUUGUCCUUGAAUUGUAGAGUUUCUUACUUGCCAUGUUGGUCAAAUUUCUAUGCUUUGUAUGGUAAUAUAGUUGUGCUUAUGAUAUUCAACAACCUUUUUCUAUGCUCUUUUGAAUGGUGAUGAAAUUGCAAGUACUAGUGUUAUUCUUAAUCAAUUAUAGGCUCUAACUUGAUGUUUCAAUAAUAUUCCCAUCCCCUUUUUUUUUCUUUGACAUGAACUUAAGAAGCUACUGUUGCCCAUUUCCUUACGUAUUUCAUAAUUAACUUCUUUUUUUUUCUCUCAUUAGCUAAAAUACUUAAAUAUGUAAUUGCUAGUAAAUUUUUUUCACCUAUUGGUAAAUAUUUGGGAUAACAUAAUUCUAUUAUCUACCUAUCAUAUGAUAAUUUAUGUUGUGUGCUUAAAGUUGCUUUUCCUAUAUAUCCAUGUUUUGAAAUGAAAGGAUAGUUUAUUCUAAUGCUCAUUUAUGUUUCUAUUAUCGAUUAUAUUACUGGGAUCACAUAAGACAUGCAUGAAUUUCUUGUUUUGAAUUACAUGCUGCAGCAAUAUCGAAUUCCUUCUGCUGUGUGUCUGCUCACUUGCUCGUACAUAUUUAUUCAGCUUGAUAUUUUUAUUAUUGUAAUUGAAGGUGCAUACUCUUUUUGUACCCAUUACAUGCUUUAUUUAAAGUCUUAAAUUACAAGAUUUGGGUUCAAGUUUGUUGUAUUAUGCAUUAUCCUCUGUAAUCUUCAAUUUCAGAAUGUCGUGACAUCUUGACAAAUCAUGUUUCAUCAUAAUCAUGCACAUGCUUAUUAUUGGUUCAUUAUGAAUGGAUGACCCAUUACGCAUUUUGUUUGUGAAAAUCCAGACCUAGCUAUGAUUGCCUUCCUCAAUAUAAUAUAGUGUGAGUAGGAGUUUCUUCUUGGUGUUGUAUUUAAAUAAGAUGUUAUUUUUGUUUUCCGAUUGUUUUCUUACAAUUCUAGUUGGUUUUUGGAUAUUUGAAGGGAUUUAUGGCCUCAUGAAUAUAUAUAUAUAUAUAUAUAUAUUUGAAGUUGUUUCUUGUCUGUUGCUCCAUUGCUUCUCCAAUUGACUAGGUGGAAGUAUUGAACCAUACAAUGGCUACAUUGCUCGCACAAUAACUGGUACACCAUAGGUUGUUAUAUCUAAGUGUUGCCGAUAUGGAUGAUGGACUGAAUGUAAGGGAGAGAAUUUGCUUUAUCCUGGAGGGUCUUCAUUUCAAUGGGAAAUGAAUUAAUGUGUAUGCACUGCUCAGAAAAUAUCAAUGAACAAGGAGAUGGAAAAGCUAAUACUUUGAAGUAGAGAGAAGGAAGUGAUCAAAGUCACACAACUGAGCUGCUAGGUCUUCAUGUACUGAAGCCUGCUUAACACUAUGAUGGACUUGGGAAGUGAGGUCCAUGAUUGUGCUGGUGGGUGGUUUCUUGCUAUGCUGGAGAAUGAGAGUCUUGUUGAUACUUUUGAACAAAUGGAUGUGGUGACACAUCAAUCUUUAUCAAGGGUGUUAUGCAGAUCUUACAGACUAGUACAUGCACUUCAAUGAAUCUGGUUUAUGUCUUUGACCUGGUCACAGUUGACAUUCAGCAGAACAAUGGAUAAGGAUAUGAGAUGUUUGUUAAAGAUGGCUUCUGCAAUGAGGCCAUGUUUUCAGUUGAUCGUCUUCCAUAUUGAAACACAUAAGUGAUCCAACUGUUCUUUCUUUUAUUCAGAAAAGGGGAUAAAACAGAUCCGUAAUAUAUAUAUAUAUAUAUAUAUAUAUAUGAAAGAAACAAGUGCUAACAGAUGAAAUUUUGACAAAUCUAAUUUACUAAUUAACAUGUCAUCUUUUGAUCAGUCUUCAUGUUAUACAGAAAGCAUAAUUAUCCAUGUGCACUCUGUUGACUUGCACAAAUAUUAAAGUGCCUUGUAUUAUCUUUAUUCUAGGCUUGAAGUAGCAAAACUUCUUUUUUAAGUAUAUUUAGAGGAUACUAUUACUAGUCCUGCUGACAACAAGGCAAAUAUACCUACGGCUAUCUAGCAAUAAAGUAGUAACGAUAAGUUCAUAACUGGAAAACUGUAUGGAGGCUGCACACUCACUGCUGAGUUUUCAAGAACAUAAUAAUAUGCAAGUGCAUAAUUUGCCAUUUCCAUUUCUCAAAUGAUAAUGCUUUCUCCUUUUACAGGAUUAUGUUGUGCACAAUUGCUAGCACUGUAAAGUGUUUUUUUUGUUGUACAUCACAUGCCAAGUUUCCCAUUUUAUUUAUCUCAUCUAAGUUAGUUGUGUGCCAUUAUCAAUUCUUUUUUAUUUGUCUGCCCAGAUAUGAUCUAUUGUAUUUUUCUAAUAUUUCUUUGAGAACCAGGACAGUUCUUGUUUUAUUUUCUUUAACAUUUGCUGAGAAGAAGUUGAAAAUAAAGAUUUUAUUAGAAUACUUGAAAUCAGCAGUUAUUAUCAGAAUUAGAUGACCUUGGUGGAUGAGCUAGAUCAAUUUUUAAUAUAUUGGUAUGAAGCCAGAUGUACAUAUUUAUGAUAUUAGAUAUCUAGAAAGAACAGAAUACUAUGUGCAGGAGUUUGUUGAAUCUGAAAUAAUUGCAUCCUUAAUGAUGUGCAAUACCAAGGCUCCCGUUCUCUCCAUCAUCAAUUUCAGGCCGGAUGAGGUCUCCCAUCCCUUCAUCAGCUCAGUCUUUCUUUGCUCCAGCCCUAAAGCAAUAAAUGUAAUACCCCAAUCAGAUUGGAAGCGGCCCAAAAAGAAAGCGAAUUAGGAUGGCGCUGUUCCGGCCUUAAUAGAAAGCUGGAAUUGACUGAGAAACCCUGGAGACUGUGAAGAUACACAACUUGUCUGUGGUCUGCGAGAAGUACUUGUGGUCUGUAAAGUUAUCUGGGGCCCAGUUUCUAUCUCUGACUAUAAAAAAGACCAAGAAAGUGGUUUGAGGGCAAGAAAGGCAGGGAGAAAAGGGACUAGUGGCUGAAAAAUAAGAAAGGAAGUUCUGAAGACUUUGAAGGAGGCUAGAAAAGGAAAGGAGAGCCAGGAAUUUCAAGAACACAUCCUUGUAGACAUUAUAGGGAGUCCUCUCAGCCUUGUUAUGCUGUAUUUUGCAGAACUUUUACUCUUUCUAUUUUUCUUUGUAAUUGAGACAAUAUGUGUGUAAAACCUUUCUUAGGUUUGGGGUUAGCCCAAGGUGGUGAUUGUUUGAUGUGUUGAUUCUUUUUGUAUGGAUCCU